UACGGAGGGAGCUAGCGUUGUUCGGAUAUACUGGGCGUAAAGAGCUCGUAGGUGGUUUGUCGCGUUGUUCGUGAAAACUCACAGCUUAACUGUGGGCGUGCGGGCGAUACGGGCAGACUGGAGUACUGCAGGGGAGACUGGAAUUCCUGGUGUAGCGGUGGAAUGCGCAGAUAUCAGGAGGAACACCGGUGGCGAAGGCGGGUCUCUGGGCAGUAACUGACGCUGAGGAGCGAAAGCGUGGGGAGCGAACAGG
Molecule: ribosomal RNA, 253 nt
Filed under: uncultured bacterium
Lineage: Bacteria
Description: partial 16S ribosomal RNA
Rfam family: Bacterial small subunit ribosomal RNA
Source: RNAcentral